RNAcentral lists this ribosomal RNA (637 nucleotides) under uncultured bacterium. RNAcentral describes it as "bacterial SSU rRNA". It matches the Rfam family "Bacterial small subunit ribosomal RNA", at positions 251 to 885 of the family's 1533-position model. The record is from RNAcentral.
GGCGGGGUAACGGCCCACCAAGACGACGAUGGAUAGGGGUUCUGAGAGGAAGGUCCCCCACACUGGUACUGAGACACGGACCAGACUCAUACGGGAGGCAGCAGUGAGGAAUAUUGGUCAAUGGGAGAGAUCCUGAACCAGCCAAGCCGCGUGAGGGAAGACGGCCCUAUGGGUUGUAAACCUCUUUUGUCGGAGAACAAAACCCGGGACGAGUCCCGGACUGCGUGUAUCCGAAGAAAAAGCAUCGGCUAACUCCGUGCCAGCAGCCGCGGUAAUACGGAGGAUGCGAGCGUUAUCCGGAUUUAUUGGGUUUAAAGGGUGCGUAGGCGGUCCGUUAAGUCAGCGGUAAAAUUGCGGGGCUCAACCCCGUCGAGCCGUUGAAACUGGCAGACUUGAGUUGGCGAGAAGUACGCGGAAUGCGCGGUGUAGCGGUGAAAUGCAUAGAUAUCGCGCAGAACUCCGAUUGCGAAGGCAGCGUACCGGCGCCAGACUGACGCUGAGGCACGAAAGCGUGGGGAUCGAACAGGAUUAGAUACCCUGGUAGUCCACGCAGUAAACGAUGAAUGCUGGUUGUCCGGGUCGAAUGAGACCUGNGCGGCGAAGCGAAAGCGAUAAGCAUUCCACCUGGNGAGUACGC